GGGAAGGUGGCUCAGUGGUAGAGUGCUUGCCUUGCAUGCAUGAGGCCCUGGGUUCAGUUCCUCACCACCACA
RNAcentral lists this transfer RNA (72 nucleotides) under Dipodomys ordii (Ord's kangaroo rat). It matches the Rfam family "tRNA". Rfam says of the family: Transfer RNA (tRNA) molecules are approximately 80 nucleotides in length. Their secondary structure includes four short double-helical elements and three loops (D, anti-codon, and T loops). The record is from Rfam by way of RNAcentral. Lineage: Eukaryota; Metazoa; Chordata; Mammalia; Rodentia; Heteromyidae.